Molecule: ribosomal RNA, 443 nt
Filed under: uncultured bacterium
Lineage: Bacteria
Description: partial 16S ribosomal RNA
Rfam family: Bacterial small subunit ribosomal RNA
Source: RNAcentral
CCUACGGGUGGCAGCAGUGGGGGAUAUUGGGCAAUGGGCGCAAGCCUGACCCAGCAACGCCGCGUGAGGGAAGAAGGCUUUCGGGUUGUAAACUUCUUUUCUGAGGGACGAAGAAAAUGACGGUACCUAAGGAAUAAGCCACGGCUAACUACGUGCCAGCAGCCGCGGUAAUACGUAGGUGGCAAGCGUUAUCCGGAUUUAUUGGGUGUAAAGGGCGUGUAGGCGGGUAAGUAAGUCAGGUGUGAAAACUCAGGGCCCAACCCUGGGCCUGCAUUUGAAACUGUUUUUCUUGAGUGCAGGAGAGGCAAGCGGAAUUCCGUGUGUAGCGGUGAAAUGCGUAGAUAUACGGAGGAACACCAGUGGCGAAGGCGGAUUGCUGGACAGUAACUGACGCUGAGGCGCGAGAGCGUGGGGAGCAAACAGGAUUAGAUACCCGAGUAGUC